Molecule: ribosomal RNA, 2982 nt
Filed under: Escherichia coli
Lineage: Bacteria; Pseudomonadati; Pseudomonadota; Gammaproteobacteria; Enterobacterales; Enterobacteriaceae
Description: 23S ribosomal RNA
Rfam family: Bacterial large subunit ribosomal RNA
Source: RNAcentral
GGUUAAGCGACUAAGCGUACACGGUGGAUGCCCUGGCAGUCAGAGGCGAUGAAGGACGUGCUAAUCUGCGAUAAGCGUCGGUAAGGUGAUAUGAACCGUUAUAACCGGCGAUUUCCGAAUGGGGAAACCCAGUGUGAUUCGUCACACUAUCAUUAACUGAAUCCAUAGGUUAAUGAGGCGAACCGGGGGAACUGAAACAUCUAAGUACCCCGAGGAAAAGAAAUCAACCGAGAUUCCCCCAGUAGCGGCGAGCGAACGGGGAGCAGCCCAGAGCCUGAAUCAGUGUGUGUGUUAGUGGAAGCGUCUGGAAAGGCGCGCGAUACAGGGUGACAGCCCCGUACACAAAAAUGCACAUGCUGUGAGCUCGAUGAGUAGGGCGGGACACGUGGUAUCCUGUCUGAAUAUGGGGGGACCAUCCUCCAAGGCUAAAUACUCCUGACUGACCGAUAGUGAACCAGUACCGUGAGGGAAAGGCGAAAAGAACCCCGGCGAGGGGAGUGAAAAAGAACCUGAAACCGUGUACGUACAAGCAGUGGGAGCACGCUUAGGCGUGUGACUGCGUACCUUUUGUAUAAUGGGUCAGCGACUUAUAUUCUGUAGCAAGGUUAACCGAAUAGGGGAGCCGAAGGGAAACCGAGUCUUAACUGGGCGUUAAGUUGCAGGGUAUAGACCCGAAACCCGGUGAUCUAGCCAUGGGCAGGUUGAAGGUUGGGUAACACUAACUGGAGGACCGAACCGACUAAUGUUGAAAAAUUAGCGGAUGACUUGUGGCUGGGGGUGAAAGGCCAAUCAAACCGGGAGAUAGCUGGUUCUCCCCGAAAGCUAUUUAGGUAGCGCCUCGUGAAUUCAUCUCCGGGGGUAGAGCACUGUUUCGGCAAGGGGGUCAUCCCGACUUACCAACCCGAUGCAAACUGCGAAUACCGGAGAAUGUUAUCACGGGAGACACACGGCGGGUGCUAACGUCCGUCGUGAAGAGGGAAACAACCCAGACCGCCAGCUAAGGUCCCAAAGUCAUGGUUAAGUGGGAAACGAUGUGGGAAGGCCCAGACAGCCAGGAUGUUGGCUUAGAAGCAGCCAUCAUUUAAAGAAAGCGUAAUAGCUCACUGGUCGAGUCGGCCUGCGCGGAAGAUGUAACGGGGCUAAACCAUGCACCGAAGCUGCGGCAGCGACGCUGAUGCGUUGUUGGGUAGGGGAGCGUUCUGUAAGCCUGCGAAGGUGUGCUGUGAGGCAUGCUGGAGGUAUCAGAAGUGCGAAUGCUGACAUAAGUAACGAUAAAGCGGGUGAAAAGCCCGCUCGCCGGAAGACCAAGGGUUCCUGUCCAACGUUAAUCGGGGCAGGGUGAGUCGACCCCUAAGGCGAGGCCGAAAGGCGUAGUCGAUGGGAAACAGGUUAAUAUUCCUGUACUUGGUGUUACUGCGAAGGGGGGACGGAGAAGGCUAUGUUGGCCGGGCGACGGUUGUCCCGGUUUAAGCGUGUAGGCUGGUUUUCCAGGCAAAUCCGGAAAAUCAAGGCUGAGGCGUGAUGACGAGGCACUACGGUGCUGAAGCAACAAAUGCCCUGCUUCCAGGAAAAGCCUCUAAGCAUCAGGUAACAUCAAAUCGUACCCCAAACCGACACAGGUGGUCAGGUAGAGAAUACCAAGGCGCUUGAGAGAACUCGGGUGAAGGAACUAGGCAAAAUGGUGCCGUAACUUCGGGAGAAGGCACGCUGAUAUGNNNNNNNNNNNNNNNNNNNNNNNNNNNNNNNNNNNNNNNNNNNNNNNNNNNNNNNNNNNNNNNNNNNNNNNNNNNNNNNNNNNNNNNNNNNNNNNNCGUGGAGCUGAAAUCAGUCGAAGAUACCAGCUGGCUGCAACUGUUUAUUAAAAACACAGCACUGUGCAAACACGAAAGUGGACGUAUACGGUGUGACGCCUGCCCGGUGCCGGAAGGUUAAUUGAUGGGGUCAGCGCAAGCGAAGCUCUUGAUCGAAGCCCCGGUAAACGGCGGCCGUAACUAUAACGGUCCUAAGGUAGCGAAAUUCCUUGUCGGGUAAGUUCCGACCUGCACGAAUGGCGUAAUGAUGGCCAGGCUGUCUCCACCCGAGACUCAGUGAAAUUGAACUCGCUGUGAAGAUGCAGUGUACCCGCGGCAAGACGGAAAGACCCCGUGAACCUUUACUAUAGCUUGACACUGAACAUUGAGCCUUGAUGUGUAGGAUAGGUGGGAGGCUUUGAAGUGUGGACGCCAGUCUGCAUGGAGCCGACCUUGAAAUACCACCCUUUAAUGUUUGAUGUUCUAACGUUGACCCGUAAUCCGGGUUGCGGACAGUGUCUGGUGGGUAGUUUGACUGGGGCGGUCUCCUCCUAAAGAGUAACGGAGGAGCACGAAGGUUGGCUAAUCCUGGUCGGACAUCAGGAGGUUAGUGCAAUGGCAUAAGCCAGCUUGACUGCGAGCGUGACGGCGCGAGCAGGUGCGAAAGCAGGUCAUAGUGAUCCGGUGGUUCUGAAUGGAAGGGCCAUCGCUCAACGGAUAAAAGGUACUCCGGGGAUAACAGGCUGAUACCGCCCAAGAGUUCAUAUCGACGGCGGUGUUUGGCACCUCGAUGUCGGCUCAUCACAUCCUGGGGCUGAAGUAGGUCCCAAGGGUAUGGCUGUUCGCCAUUUAAAGUGGUACGCGAGCUGGGUUUAGAACGUCGUGAGACAGUUCGGUCCCUAUCUGCCGUGGGCGCUGGAGAACUGAGGGGGGCUGCUCCUAGUACGAGAGGACCGGAGUGGACGCAUCACUGGUGUUCGGGUUGUCAUGCCAAUGGCACUGCCCGGUAGCUAAAUGCGGAAGAGAUAAGUGCUGAAAGCAUCUAAGCACGAAACUUGCCCCGAGAUGAGUUCUCCCUGACUCCUUGAGAGUCCUGAAGGAACGUUGAAGACGACGACGUUGAUAGGCCGGGUGUGUAAGCGCAGCGAUGCGUUGAGCUAACCGGUACUAAUGAACCGUGAGGCUUAACCUU